GUGACCGACUCUUUCGUGUGCUUCACCACUUCAGCAAACAACACAUUUUGUGUUGGCAGUAGAUCGACGAUCCAUGCAUGGCAAACAAGUCCUCGAAGGCGCACAAGCGCACGCAGACAAUACAAACUGCAGUAGCUAACUAGGCACGUUCUGUGGUGUACCCCUCUCAAGCUGGCCCAUAGUGCAUAUAUGCGUCCACACCAGGCGUUACCGGUUCAUUGUCCUGAGCUAUUCUGCACCAGCAGGCAGCCGGCCAUCGUGCAAUCCACUUCUAUGUGAAUUUCGGUUUACUGGAAGAGGCAGCGAAACGCCCUGGUAGCCUUCGCCGACAAGUACCACGUCUUCGGAAGCUCGAAGCUGGUUGUUGCCCAGUUCACUCCACUAGGAACAAUGCACAGUGUACAGUUCAUGCCGUACAAAGUUACCCCCAUUUUUACUAUAUUCAUGACAUGUUGUUAUGCCACAUUGUUCUGCACAAAUAAUCUCUCCUGAUUUGCAUCUAUUAUACUUUCGAUUUUGAUUUG
Lolium rigidum is the source of this 524-nucleotide long non-coding RNA. RefSeq lists it as uncharacterized. NCBI's taxonomy places the organism in Eukaryota, Viridiplantae, Streptophyta, Magnoliopsida, Poales, Poaceae. The transcript is spliced from 2 exons. The record is from RefSeq and is a predicted model, not a curated record.